Orcinus orca (killer whale) is the source of this 3012-nucleotide long non-coding RNA. RefSeq lists it as uncharacterized. The transcript is spliced from 2 exons. Lineage: Eukaryota; Metazoa; Chordata; Mammalia; Artiodactyla; Delphinidae. The record is from RefSeq and is a predicted model, not a curated record.
CAUGUGCGUGCACAGACGUACGAACAUACAGACACACACAUAUGCCCAUGCACCACGCUAGCAUCACAAAGCCUGGUAUCAAAAUGGCAGCCCUGACUGAUAGAACUAUUGCCUAAUCUUUCUGCAUCUCAUCCUCCUAAAUUUUACAAUAAUUGUGAACUGGUCUCUAAAGCUUUUCCUAGCCCUACCUGGAAAUGGCACACAGCUCACGGCUCCCACCCUGCCUCCCACUGCCAGGCCCUCUUCCCCACCCUCACGCCGAGGAGGGCGGCCCCAGCCCCGCGGGUCCUGCUCGGCAUGGCCUGUCUCCGUGGCUUUGCUCACGGGAUGCACAGGGGGCUCCUCCUUCCCUCAGGGCCUGGCCCCUCUUCGCCCCCCUAGAAUCGUGCCCCCGCAGGUGCUGGGUGCUGGCCUGACACGUGGUGUUCAUGGUGACCUGGAGGCUGAGACGCCCAAUUUCUGCUCCCUUCAGGGCCGAACUGCUUGAUUUGGGGGACAGUCCGCAGAAACUGGCUGGGGUGCAUACAAGGGUACUCGCCAAUUACAAAGGUGGAAUCACAGUGGACAUACGUCAUCUCUGCAUCCUUUCCCAGGAGAUCGACCAUGAAGGCUGUAGCUGAACCUCACUCGCCACUCUCUGGGCUGAUUGCUCCCUACGUUUUUCUAGGAAGGAACAGGGAGAACCUUAGCUGUCUCUGCCUCAGGAAGUCAGAAGUUGUAACUGGCUUUAAAGAUGCUAAUGGAGCACGACUGGCUGAUUGAUGCCCAAGGCCCAGCGUCUCCGCCCCACGGGAGGAAAGUGGUCAGAACAUGUUCUCUCUGUGAAGCGUUCCAAUGUUUGUUCCCACUGAACUUGCCUCUGGCUGUUGGACACGUUCUCUGGAGCCUCCACCUCCCACGAGGAGGGGCCAGGCUUGGGGCUGCCUGGCCGCAGAGGAACUCGCUCAGCAGGACCUGCUGGGAUGGACGGGGAUGAAAGGACAGCAGAGCCUGGCUGGCGGCUGCCUCCCGUUGGCCUGAAAUGUCUCUCUCGCUGCACUUUGAAGAACCAGAGACCCAGGCAGAGUUGCUCUGAUUCUGGCCGCUACGAAGACAUGCAUGAAACAUCAAUCUUUAUCAGUGGCCUUUUGGAAAAGAUGUGGCAGAUGGUAGGACACAGCUUUGCCCUCAAGAAAAUACAGGGAAUCUGUCAAAGCUUAUGUUGAUCCAGUUCCAUUCCCCGCACUCACCCACCAGGACCUUCAUACUUAAGCCUCUCCCUCUAGAAGGAAAUUCAAGGACGCUGGCCUGGCCCGCCUUCCUCUCUGUGGCCAACGCCCCUGGUCCUGCAGCGUUCAUGCCUUCUGUUCUUCGGGAAUAUAGUCCCCAGAUAAUUUUGUCAGAUGUGAUAGGCUACGUACAGCCCCAAAGAUGUGCAGAUUCAAAUCCCUUAGAACCUGUGACUAUUCCCUGAUUUGGCAAAGAGACUUUGCAGGUGAGUGAAUUAAGGGUCUUGAGAUGGAGACUAUCCUGGAUUGUCCACAUGGACCCUAAAUGCCCCUGCAGUGUCCUUAAGGGGGAGGCAGAGGGAUGUUUGACGGCACGGAAGCAGAAGGGGGGGUGACCACUGGGCUGCUGGAUGCGGGGAGGGGGAGGGGCUGGAGCCCGGCAGCCCGAGAAGUUAGAAUAAGAAGGAGUGGGUUUCCCACAGUCCAGGAGGGAGGGCAUAGUUUUGGUCCAGUACCUCUGGUUGUAGACUUCCAACCUCCAGAACGACACAAGAUUGAAUACGCGUUGUCUGAAGCCGCCCAGUCCGUGGUCGUUUGUUACAGCAGCGCUGGGAGUUCAUACAGGGACCAAGUGUCGGCCAAGAGCAAAGGCGAUGGUUCUCAGCCCCUCUUGUAGCUCUUGGCCAUCGUGCUGGGUUCGGAUGGUGAGACACACCUGCAAGCGUGGUGCCAACCAUCCUGGAAAGUCUGCUUAAAGAAGGGGUCCGACUUCUCUGUUCUUCUUCCUGCCAACUAUGCUGACAUGUUCUCUGGACGCCAGCCGCCAUCUGGGACCAUGAGACAAAUUUGGGAAUGAAGUCUGCACACGGUGGGUCAGCAAGACGAGAUAAGCACGGCAGCAAACCUCCAGGUCUCAGGUAGGAGGAACAAAUCCUCAUUCGAGCCACACACCUUCUUAUCCAUCUCCUCCGAAGGGCCCUGUGGAUCGAUGUAUGCCUCUGUUUCUUGCCCUCUAAAACUUUUAGCAUAGCAGUAUCAUAAAUUUAUAAAUAGGAAGAAAAUCUGAUUAGAUUAAUUUACAAUAAGGUGUGGUUGACCAAGAAGUUUCUCGAAGUUUACAUUCGAAGAAUAAGCACGUUUUAAAUCAAAUGCCCCUCCCAGACUGUACAUUUCCCAUUUAGGAUAAAAUAGAAGGAGAAAAGAGCCAGGCUUCACCGCUGUGGACCCUCUCCAUCUUUGGAGUUUCCACAGUGGUUGAAAGUUUGGAGUUGCAGAUCAAUAUUUCUUUUUUCUUUUUUUCAAUGUUUGUAACUGCUACUUAUUUUCAUGUUCCCUCUUAUUUUCUUUUCUCUCACUCAUAGAAGACAGGAGUUUCUAUUUAGGUCUAUGUUGAAGCAUCCUAAUGUUGCUGUCAGCAUAAUAUUUUAUGGGAGCAAAUGCAGUGAUUUGACUGUCCUUCACUUGAGCAUCUUAAAAACAUAACAAUAGUAAGAUUCAUAAAGUCUAAGAUCAUUGAAUCGUAUUUUCCCUUCUGUUUAUGGAACAAAGCUUUCAAUUGAUUUUAUGAGUUAGUUCCCAAAUACUCUCUCUUUGUGAAGCAGUGGGGAUGGAGUUACAAUGCUGGUGUCCGCCCAGUGACCCAACACCUGUCCUUCUUGCCUAUAGUGAAAGAAGAUGAAAGCUGGCCCUUCGAUGCUGCUGCGAUGGAAAGUCUUUGGGAAAUGCAUCGACAGUAAAAGCAACAUUUAAUUAAGUACAGCUUAUCACUGUAUGUUGAAUAAAGCUCUUGAGAUGUUUGUGAAAA